Molecule: ribosomal RNA, 253 nt
Filed under: uncultured bacterium
Lineage: Bacteria
Description: partial 16S ribosomal RNA
Rfam family: Bacterial small subunit ribosomal RNA
Source: RNAcentral
UACGGAGGAUCCGAGCGUUAUCCGGAUUUAUUGGGUUUAAAGGGUGCGUAGGCGGGUUGGUAAGUCCGUGGUGAAAUCCCCAAGCUUAACUUGGGAACUGCCGUGGAUACUAUCAAUCUUGAAUAUCGUGGAGGUAAGCGGAAUAUGUCAUGUAGCGGUGAAAUGCUUAGAUAUGACAUAGAACACCAAUUGCGUAGGCAGCUUACUACACGAUCAUUGACGCUGAGGCACGAAAGCGUGGGGAGCAAACAGG